This 464-nucleotide ribosomal RNA is filed under the name uncultured bacterium. Its description in RNAcentral is "partial 16S ribosomal RNA". It matches the Rfam family "Bacterial small subunit ribosomal RNA", at positions 28 to 523 of the family's 1533-position model. The record is from RNAcentral.
GACGAACGCUGGCGGCAUGCUUAACACAUGCACGUCGAACGCAGCAUCCAAGCAUGCUUGGUUGGCUGAGUGGCAGACGGGUGAGCAACACGUGGGAAAUUACUAUUUCGACUGUGACAACCACUGCAAACGGUGGCUAAUACCGCAUACGCCCUGAGGGGGAAAGCGGCAAUGCGCUAAGGGAGAGGCCCGCGGCAGAUUAGGUAGUUGGUGGGGUAAAGGCCUACCAAGCCUGUGAUCUGUAGCUGGUUUGAGAGGAUGAUCAGCCACACUGGGACUGAGACACGGCCGAGACUCCUACGGGAGGCAGCAGUGGGGAAUAUUGGACAAUGGGGGAAACUCUGAUCCAGCAAUGCCGCGUGAAUGAAGAAGGCCUUAGGGUUGUAAAGUUCUUUUGUCCGCGACGAUAAUGACGGUAGCGGACGAAUAAGCCCUGGCUAACUCUGUGCCAGCCGCCGCAGUAA